UUGACACAUAAUUGACAGCGGGUCUGACCCCGUCUUUAAUGGAUUCACCCAGACCCGAGCUAACCAGUGUGUCAA
This 75-nucleotide microRNA precursor is filed under the name Hippoglossus hippoglossus (Atlantic halibut). RNAcentral describes it as "microRNA hhi-mir-7796 precursor". The record is from miRBase by way of RNAcentral. Lineage: Eukaryota; Metazoa; Chordata; Actinopteri; Pleuronectiformes; Pleuronectidae.